RNAcentral lists this ribosomal RNA (407 nucleotides) under uncultured bacterium. RNAcentral describes it as "bacterial SSU rRNA". It matches the Rfam family "Bacterial small subunit ribosomal RNA", at positions 355 to 776 of the family's 1533-position model. The record is from RNAcentral.
UGGGGAAUAUUGCGCAAUGGGGGAAACCCUGACGCAGCAACGCCGCGUGAUCGAAGAAGGCCUUCGGGUUGUAAAGAUCUUUAAUCAGGGACGAAGAAAAUGACGGUACCUGAAGAAUAAGCUCCGGCUAACUACGUGCCAGCAGCCGCGGUAAUACGUAGGGAGCAAGCGUUAUCCGGAUUUACUGGGUGUAAAGGGCGCGCAGGCGGGCCGGCAAGUUGGAAGUGAAAUCUAUGGGCUUAACCCAUAAACUGCUUUCAAAACUGCUGGUCUUGAGUGAUGGAGAGGCAGGCGGAAUUCCGUGUGUAGCGGUGAAAUGCGUAGAUAUACGGAGGAACACCAGUGGCGAAGGCGGCCUGCUGGACAUUAACUGACGCUGAGGCGCGAAAGCGUGGGGAGCAAACAGG